This 728-nucleotide long non-coding RNA is filed under the name Nicotiana tabacum (common tobacco). RNAcentral's name for it is "long non-coding RNA (NTAB_LNC000462)". Lineage: Eukaryota; Viridiplantae; Streptophyta; Magnoliopsida; Solanales; Solanaceae. The record is from RNAcentral.
GCUCAUUCUCAAAGAUCAGCCAUGGGGAGCUGUCGCUGGAAUUCCCAUUGCCUUUCGAAUUGCCACCAGCGGAGAUCCCAUUGCCGGAGAUCCCAUUGCCUUUCGAUGGGCCUACAUUCGUGCUACCGCCACCAUCACCACCACCACCUCCACCGUCACCAUUGCCAUCACCACCUCCGCCAUCUCCAUCACCACCUCCUCCUUCGACAUUAAUACCACUUAUUCCUCCUUUUACCGGCGGUUUUUUGCCUCCUUUGCCCGGCUCUAAGCUUCCUGGCCUUUUGCCUCUGAUUCCCAACUUACCUGAUUUGCCUCCCAUAGGUGGUGGUCCACCUGUUAACCGGCCAAAGCCGUCGUCACCAUCACCCCCAGUUAAGCCGCCACCACCACCACCUUCACCAUGUAAGCCAUCACCACCUGAUCAGUCUACAAAGCAACCACCACCACCUCCGCCAUCAAAACAACCACCACCUCCACCACCAGUUAAGGCAUCAUCUCCAUCUCCAGCAAAGCAACCACCACCUCCUCCACCGCCAGUUAAGUCACCAUCUCCAUCUCCAGCAAAGCAAUCACCACCACCUCCUCGGGCACCAUCUCCAUCACCAGCUACUCAGCCACCUAUAAAGCAACCGCCACCACCAAGUGCUAAGAAAUCUCCUCCGCCACCAGUUGCUUAUCCACCAGUUAUGGCACCAUCUCCAUCACCGGCUGCUGAGCCACCUAUUAUA